UGUGAGAGCUGGCUUGCCUGCGAUUGCGGCGGGUCAGUGCAAUGUGUGCAAGCUGACACACCGCUAUCGCAGGCAAGCCAGCUCCCACA
This 89-nucleotide non-coding RNA is filed under the name Pseudomonas tolaasii NCPPB 2192. Lineage: Bacteria; Pseudomonadati; Pseudomonadota; Gammaproteobacteria; Pseudomonadales; Pseudomonadaceae. The record is from RNAcentral.